This 65-nucleotide microRNA precursor is filed under the name Schistosoma mattheei. Its description in RNAcentral is "mir-3492 microRNA precursor family". It matches the Rfam family "mir-3492 microRNA precursor family". Lineage: Eukaryota; Metazoa; Platyhelminthes; Trematoda; Strigeidida; Schistosomatidae. The record is from Rfam by way of RNAcentral.
AGCAUUCUGUAGCCGUGCUGAGAUUUUGUCACACACCAGAUGAAACUCCCAAGAUAAGUGAAGCA